RNAcentral lists this ribosomal RNA (255 nucleotides) under uncultured bacterium. RNAcentral's name for it is "partial 16S ribosomal RNA". It matches the Rfam family "Bacterial small subunit ribosomal RNA", at positions 524 to 776 of the family's 1533-position model. The record is from RNAcentral.
UACGUAGGGUGCGAGCGUUGUCCGGAAUUAUUGGGCGUAAAGAGCUCGUAGGCGGUCUGUCGUGUCUGCUGUGAAAACCCGAGGCUCAACCUCGGGCCUGCAGUGGGUACGGGCAGACUAGAGUGCGGUAGGGGAGAAUGGAAUUCCUGGUGUAGCGGUGGAAUGCGCAGAUAUCAGGAGGAACACCGAUGGCGAAGGCAGUUCUCUGGGCCGUAACUGGACGCUGAGGAGCGAAAAGCGUGGGGAGCGAACAGG